UUUUUUUUUUUUUUUUUAAAUGUUCCCGGAAACGCGGCACCUCCCAAAGGUGGGGACAUCUCACUGGCCUAGGGGCUUACUUUUCAGAGUGACUCAGCGCGGGUAGAAGUUACCAGGGGCUUGCAGGGCCAGAGCCUGUUGUUUUUCAAAGACAAUCUGCAACUCUGAAGAGUGGUGAAAAGAUUUCUACACAGUGUACAUUCUACAGAAUUCUAGCUUCUCCGCGGGUGCAGACUUUUCCGCCCUCUAGUCUAGCGUGAAAACAGUUCGACCACUGGAUGUGGGCGGCGAAGCCCGCACCCUAGAGCGCGGUGUCUACCUGCAGGAGGGAGCUGCAGCCCACGCCGCCGCGGCCACUUCUGGCCUCCUCGGGAACCGAACCGAGAAUACCUCAGUGCUCGCCUAGAAGCGGCUCCUUUUCCCCUUCUUACUCGCGAAUGGCGAAACGAAUAGGUGCGCGGGAUUUUACCCGUUUGUGUAGUGGACUCUGAGGGGGCACCAGGUACCGAGACAGAAAUCUUUGCGGUAAGAAUAAAGUCAGGUAAAAUGCCUGGUACAGACGCCCUGCAGAUGUCCCAAGAGUAGGUCCACCGUACACUCUUCCCAUUAAGUUCUUAGGGGUAGGACAGGGAUGGCCCUUUGGUCAGGCUGGAUUGAUCAGGGAGGUAUGUGCAUAUGUUUGCCCUCUGGACAUUUGGGGAGGAGUUAUGAGGGAGUUGAAGGCAAGAGGCAAAAUCAGGUAGAACAACCAACCACAGCCCAGAGCGGCACUCUCGGGGAAUGGGCGCAGGGAACUCCGCGCAAAGAUCCGGCUUCCCAAACCUACGGUCCUGCCCUUUCUCCCUCUGUAAAUAACAUGUGAAUUACAGACGUACUGCCACCCAGACACUACUUCUCCCUAAAUCUGGUCCUUAGUUCUCACUGGGAUCAACGUUUCCCUCCGCUCUCCAGCUCCUCUCCAUCAGGCCAUGUCACGCAGCAGCCAGGCGGGGCCAAAAAGUUUUAGCGCGAGACCUCCUGGCUAAAACCUGCCCAGCCACCUCGACAACACAUCCUAGGGCCAGGUGAAGGGGGUUUAAGCCCUUGCAUCCAGGUAGCUUCCGGAUCUGCAGUGUGCUUGGUGCGGAUUUGGGAAGUCUCCCUUCCUUCUCUCCUAGCCACACCCAGCCCACAGAAGGGCAGAGAAAACCUGGUGGAAAAUAAUGACUCGGGCGACACUACCCCUCUUCCUUCAAUUCCAUCCCUAGAAUGGCCUGCAAAACUAUUCAUGUUCGGGGGUCCAAAUAUUAAGUGGGGGUGGGUACACGUGGCUAAAAGAACACAGAUUAGGGAUUCAGGCUGUGCCAAGCCAGGCCGGGGGCCUUUUUGCGUGUCCCGGCAUGGCAGUAUGGUUGCGGCGUGCACUCCGCAUAGCCCGUGUUGUGCGUGGCGGGCUGUCGCUGCAAUGUGCAGCCCAUUGACACUGAUGGAUGCGCCAAAGGUUGGACGGACAGAUGUUAGGGCGGAUCGCACAGCGCUCGGCGCCUGAGCAGGGGAGGGCCAGGCAGCGACCAAGCGGCGGCAGCCGGCUACGCGGAGACCCGAGUUCAGGCCGCGGCCCGCAGGGGGAGGGGGCC
This is a long non-coding RNA of Macaca fascicularis (crab-eating macaque), 1616 nucleotides long. The record is from Ensembl. NCBI's taxonomy places the organism in Eukaryota, Metazoa, Chordata, Mammalia, Primates, Cercopithecidae.